RNAcentral lists this ribosomal RNA (301 nucleotides) under uncultured bacterium. Its description in RNAcentral is "partial 16S ribosomal RNA". It matches the Rfam family "Bacterial small subunit ribosomal RNA", at positions 509 to 807 of the family's 1533-position model. The record is from RNAcentral.
CAGUCGCCGCGGGAAUACGGAGGGUGCAAGCGUUAAUCGGAAUUACUGGGCGUAAAGCGCACGCAGGCGGUCUGUUAAGUCAGAUGUGAAAUCCCCGGGCUCAACCCGGGAACUGCAUUUGAAACUGGCAGGCUUGAGUCUUGUAGAGGGGGGUAGAAUUCCAGGUGUAGCGGUGAAAUGCGUAGAGAUCUGGAGGAAUACCGGUGGCGAAGGCGGCCCCCUGGACAAAGACUGACGCUCAGGUGCGAAAGCGUGGGGAGCAAACAGGAUUAGAUACCCGGGUAGUCCCUGUCUCUUAUAC